Molecule: ribosomal RNA, 252 nt
Filed under: uncultured bacterium
Lineage: Bacteria
Description: partial 16S ribosomal RNA
Rfam family: Bacterial small subunit ribosomal RNA
Source: RNAcentral
UACGGAGGGUGCAAGCGUUAUCCGGAUUCACUGGGUUUAAAGGGUGUGUAGGCGGGUAUUUAAGUCAGUGGUGAAAUCUCCGGGCUCAACCCGGAAACUGCCAUUGAUACUAUUUAUCUUGAAUCUUGUUGAGGUAGGCGGAAUACAUCAUGUAGCGGUGAAAUGCUUAGAUAUGAUGUAGAACACCGAUUGCGAAGGCAGCUUACUAAACAAGCAUUGACGCUGAGGCACGAAAGCGUGGGAUCAAACAGG